GUCCACGCCAUAAACGAUGACAACUAGAUGUUGGGAGGGUUAGCCUCUCGGUGUCGUAGCUAACGCGUUAAGUUGUCCGCCUGGGGAGUACGGCCGCAAGGUUGAAACUCAAAGGAAUUGACGGGGACCCGGCACAAGCGGUGGAGCAUGUGGUUUAAUUCGAUGCAACGCGAAGAACCUUACCUGGUCUUGACAUCUGUCGAAAUCCUGCAGAGAUGUGGGAGUGCCUUCGGGAACGAUAAGACAGGUGCUGCAUGGCUGUCGU
Molecule: ribosomal RNA, 265 nt
Filed under: uncultured bacterium
Lineage: Bacteria
Description: partial 16S ribosomal RNA
Rfam family: Bacterial small subunit ribosomal RNA
Source: RNAcentral